GCCCAGGUCAGAGGACAAGGAGGAAGAGAGGGGUGGCCUCUCUCCUGGGUGCUAAAACCUCCAAAUGGAUCUCCAUGUACGCAGCUGCCAGACCUCGGUCUGAAAAAAAAACCUGUCCCAUUCUAAAUGGAGUAGAUUGCACAGUUAUCUCCCGAGUCUACGCUGGCACCAAGAACUCUGAGCCCCCAUGAAACCUCCACCACCACCACCGGGCAUAGUCCCACGACUACCCCCUGCCCGCUGCGCCCCAGACGCAAGCAGAGGUGACGCAUUCAGGACUGGCCCGCCAGCCAGAGACGCCCUCUCACAGGCGGUUCCCAAGUGCUGAGGAAGGUGAUGACCACACCCCAGAGAUCCACACACUCCUCCACCUCCACAGCUUCGCCCCAACCUCUCAAACGAGCUCCUCAGGCUUGGGGUGGCGUGCUCGGCCAGGGCCAGCCAGCCCAUUCCAACUGAGCCUAGGAAUCCAGGUCUCCCAGGAGUCAUUCUUUUGGGUCCCACUUUGAGCCCUGGACCUGCAGUCACAUUCCCCUCAACUGGCUGACUCUGCUCCGUGGGUGGGAGGGGAGCCAACCAGAGUCUGGCUGGUUCAAGUCCUCAGCUCUUCACAAACUUGCCCCGACAAGGACCCCCGAAUCACUGCUUCGGGGCCCCCCAGCAUCAGCAGUAAGCCCCACCUAUGUGGCUUCUUAUGUGUCCUGGCUUCCUGAACAAUGUCGCUGCGUAUAACCUUCAAGGACAAGGCUUUGGGGAGGGCCACAGACACCCUCCGAUCCCCGUUGCCAAUACUCCAGACCCUUCGUCCUCUGCUAGCCCACCUCUCAUGCCCCCACCCCCCUUCCCGUCCUCUCCCCCCCACCUCACCCCUCAGCUGCGGGCUCCCUUCUCUCCCCACUGGGCAUACACACCCGAAUCAAGGGCUAGCCCAACCCAUCAUCCUUGGGGGCCAACGAGAAGGAAGCUUCCCCAAUGAGCUUCAGAAAGGAAGUGAGUGCCACACCCUGCCCCAGGGAUUUCCCUCCUGGGGGCAGAAGAGACAGAGCACCAAAGGAGAAUCUUACUCCCCGAAUUUAGACCCAGCCCUGGUG
Long non-coding RNA from Bos taurus (domestic cattle), 1091 nucleotides. Lineage: Eukaryota; Metazoa; Chordata; Mammalia; Artiodactyla; Bovidae. The record is from Ensembl.